This is a long non-coding RNA of Siniperca chuatsi (mandarin fish), 502 nucleotides long. RefSeq lists it as uncharacterized. The record is from RefSeq and is a predicted model, not a curated record. The transcript is spliced from 3 exons. Lineage: Eukaryota; Metazoa; Chordata; Actinopteri; Centrarchiformes; Sinipercidae.
UUGAAGAACUACAUGCCCCAUGAUGCCUCGCUUUCAAGAUGACCAAAUGGAACACAGAGCAGACCAGCCGUUGUGACAGCUGAGCGUCAAGUUUGCUUCAGCAAACUUCACCGCCGGGCUACGACCUUGAAUAGACACGAAUGCAAUAAACAUGACACGCUCAGGACAGGACAGAAGCCGGCCGGUAUAGCAACACUUGCAGCAGAGAGCAUUUCAUUGGAUGGACACACACUAAAGGAGACAGUACCCUAUAUACGCAGAACAUCACAUGCUAAGAUAACUAUUGCAGCAACACAUCAUUACCUUCUCAGCCAAUCAGAGCCUGAUGCCCUGGAAGCCUGCGUUGUCUCCCUGAGCCACCAGGGGGCUUCAGUCCCACAGAGGGACACCCAGCUCUGAGUUUGCCUUCACCCUGAACCCUCCAGCCCCAGUCAAGCUGUCCCACCCUGCCCCCUCUCACUCCUCUUCUUCUCCUCCUGCUCCUCUUUCUUCUCCCUCCUGG